This 253-nucleotide ribosomal RNA is filed under the name uncultured bacterium. RNAcentral describes it as "partial 16S ribosomal RNA". It matches the Rfam family "Bacterial small subunit ribosomal RNA", at positions 524 to 776 of the family's 1533-position model. The record is from RNAcentral.
UACAGAGGGGGCAAGCGUUGUUCGGAUAUACUGGGCGUAAAGCGCACGUAGGCGGCGCCGUAAGUCAGGGGUGAAAUCCCGGAGCUCAACUCCGGAACUGCCCUUGAAACUGCAGUGCUAGAAUCCUGGAGAGGCGAGUGGAAUUCCGAGUGUAGAGGUGAAAUGCGUAGAUAUCUGGAGGAACACCGGUGGCGAAGGCGGCGUUCUGGACUGUAACUGACACUGAGAAACGAAAGCCAGGGUAGCAAACGGG